Long non-coding RNA from Trifolium pratense (red clover), 1663 nucleotides. RefSeq lists it as uncharacterized. The transcript has 7 exons. The record is from RefSeq and is a predicted model, not a curated record. Lineage: Eukaryota; Viridiplantae; Streptophyta; Magnoliopsida; Fabales; Fabaceae.
AAAAUUAAAUAAAAGCAAACACAAACAGAACCCAGUACCCUUCGCCAUCUCUUCUUUCUCUGCAAACGCCUUCUCUCACUACGAACCAAGAAAUCCUUCACUGGGAAACCCCUCGAUUCCUUCUCUUCACUGAAAACCCAGAAAUCCUUCGUCACUGGCAACCCUAACUUCAUAUUACAUGCAAAAUUAACACAUGCACUAUGAGAUGGUUAAGUGGCAAUGUCUAGAGUUACUAUGAGGAAGUUUGAAAAAACAAAGUAAAGGUGAUUUUCUGCCUCCAAAUCAUUGCUACACAUAGUUUCCUUCUCCUUUGAUUUGCACCCAACUUUCCUCCGCCGCUGUAUUUCCCUUCUCACUGUAAGGGUUCGCCGUAUAAAGGCCUCCCCUGUCGUCGACAUUGAAAUUGGUGCCUUUGUUUUGUUUCUUCAACUUCACUUCGCCGUAUUUCACCUUUUCUAGGGUCCGCUAUAUCAUGGUAAUAUCUCUGGUGGUUCACCGUAUUUCACUUCACCGUCGUUAUGUUAUUCCCCUGCUAUUGCAUCUUUCUAUAUGUGUGGUUUAAUGUUAUUAAUCCAAAAUGUUGUGGUUUCUAUUUAAGGUAAGAAGGUUGACGGAUUUUUAAUGUCAUCAAUCCUUGUUUUAUGUUGAUUUAAUUGCUAUCUUCUUCUUAGUUUAAAGGAAUUGUUUCCGCUUUUGAACUUUUAUUUUUCCUAAUCAUAUAUCAGUAGCCACCAUAUUAAUUUAGUGAUGAUGAUUUAUUGUAAAAUUGUGAACAUCAUUUUGAUGUCUAGAAUCUGGAUACAUGAGAAGGAUCAUACAGUAUGUUACUAAUGUGUCAAAAUCCUUAUUCCUAUAGAAUUUUCACCUCGUGACACUCCUACUGGACUUGAUGCUAGAGAUCAAUAUGUUCUUCAACUUGGUAGGUUGAUUGAUGCUCUAUAACACUAACACAUUUCUAGGAGGAAGCUGAUCUACAACUAGCUGAGUGAUGGUAUUAAUUAAUGAUUAUGGAAAACUGAAAUAUCUUGGGUUUGUGGACUCUCAUUUAUGUAUUACUGUGGAAUUCAUGUAAUUGUGCAUACCACUCUACCUACUUGGAUUUAAAGCAUAAUUGAAUGACCAUUCUUUGUACCAAACAUGAUGUAAAUUUAUCUCAUUGAACUAAGAUAAUAGUCAUUGGUCAAACAUAAAUUAGAUUUUCAUAGUUGUGCUUGAGGUGCUGGAUGAUUUGGAUUCCUUAGUCAGAGAGUUGGUCUGUCAUUGGUAGUUGAAAUACUCAGAAACCAGGACAUUUUCUUAUGAAGGGCUAAACUUGUCAUUCUCAAGCAUGGUUGAUCUAUUCAUGGGUUCCAAAUGUCAUUGAUGCCAAGAAGUAAGAAACCAGAAAAUUCACCUUAAGCAUUAGUGAAAGAAGCAAUUGUUGAUGAGAGAUUUGAAGUAUCAUUUGAUUGUGGUAUUAUAUUGCUAUUGCAAGUUUUUAGUUUGAUAAUGAUUAAAAGUUUUGUAACAUUGUUUUCUUUUAAACAGGUUUUGUAACAUUGUUGAUAGUGGCAUGUGUUAAGAGACAAGGCUUGGUGAUAUUUCUUAUCUCUUUCACCUUGUCUUAGUGUUGUUUAUUACUUGUGAAUGUUAUAUUUUACUUUUGUUUAUGAGUAUAUAUAUA